GAUGAACGCUAGCGGCAGGCCUAAUACAUGCAAGUCGAACGGAACUAAUUUUUUCGGAGAUUGGUUAGUGGCGGACUGGUGAGUAACACGUGAGCAACCUACCUAUCAGAGGGAACAACAGUUAGAAAUGACUGCUAAUACCGCAUAUGCCUUAGUAACACAUGUUACAAAAGGGAAAGAAGCAAUUCGCUGAUAGAUGGGCUUGCGUCUGAUUAGCUAGUUGGUGAGGUAAUGGCUCACCAAGGCGACGAUCAGUAGCCGGACUCGAGAGGUUGAACGGCCACAUUGGGACUGAGAUACGGCCCAG
This 307-nucleotide ribosomal RNA is filed under the name uncultured bacterium. RNAcentral describes it as "bacterial SSU rRNA". It matches the Rfam family "Bacterial small subunit ribosomal RNA", at positions 28 to 334 of the family's 1533-position model. The record is from RNAcentral.